RNAcentral lists this long non-coding RNA (457 nucleotides) under Salvia miltiorrhiza (redroot sage). RNAcentral describes it as "long non-coding RNA (SMIL_LNC002914)". The record is from RNAcentral. Lineage: Eukaryota; Viridiplantae; Streptophyta; Magnoliopsida; Lamiales; Lamiaceae.
UAUUAUUUUAAGGAGAAACACAAAAUUAGUUGAAACAAAUUAAUAAAAAACAAAUAAACACAAAAUUUAGGAGAAAUAAUUUUUGAAAAAAAUAAUAAUAUUAAUUUAGAAAAAAAAAUAGCUAGAAACCAACCUAGAAUUAUUAUAACAAGAAACACUAAAUUAUUGGUAACAAAUCAAUGAUUAAAUUUAAAAACAAAUAAAUCAAAAUAAAAACCAAACAAAAAUUAAAAAAAAAAAUCGAAUUAUAUAAAUUAUAAAAUUUCCCAAAAUAAAAACAUAAAAAUAAAGAAACAAAGGCUUAAAAAACACGUAAGGAUACAAACUAAUUACCGAAAACAAUAAAACAAACUAAUGGCCGAAAAAAUGUAGAUAAAAUGGUAGAAAAAAAAGAAAGAAAAUGGAUAGAAUAAAUCAAGGAUAAAUCAGUAAAUAUACUAAAUCCAUAAAACCGGCC